RNAcentral lists this ribosomal RNA (1434 nucleotides) under uncultured organism. RNAcentral describes it as "16S ribosomal RNA". It matches the Rfam family "Bacterial small subunit ribosomal RNA". The record is from RNAcentral.
CAGGCUUAACACAUGCAAGUCGAGGGGCAGCAUGGUCUUAGCUUGCUAAGGCCGAUGGCGACCGGCGCACGGGUGAGUAACACGUAUCCAACCUGCCGUCUACUCUUGGACAGCCUUCUGAAAGGAAGAUUAAUACAAGAUGGCAUCAUGAGUCCGCAUGUUCACAUGAUUAAAGGUAUUCCGGUAGACGAUGGGGAUGCGUUCCAUUAGAUAGUAGGCGGGGUAACGGCCCACCUAGUCUUCGAUGGAUAGGGGUUCUGAGAGGAAGGUCCCCCACAUUGGAACUGAGACACGGUCCAAACUCCUACGGGAGGCAGCAGUGAGGAAUAUUGGUCAAUGGGCGAGAGCCUGAACCAGCCAAGUAGCGUGAAGGAUGACUGCCCUAUGGGUUGUAAACUUCUUUUAUAAAGGAAUAAAGUCGGGUAUGCAUACCCGUUUGCAUGUACUUUAUGAAUAAGGAUCGGCUAACUCCGUGCCAGCAGCCGCGGUAAUACGGAGGAUCCGAGCGUUAUCCGGAUUUAUUGGGUUUAAAGGGAGCGUAGAUGGAUGUUUAAGUCAGUUGUGAAAGUUUGCGGCUCAACCGUAAAAUUGCAGUUGAUACUGGAUAUCUUGAGUGCAGUUGAGGCAGGCGGAAUUCGUGGUGUAGCGGUGAAAUGCUUAGAUAUCACGAAGAACUCCGAUUGCGAAGGCAGCCUGCUAAGCUGCAACUGACAUUGAGGCUCGAAAGUGUGGGUAUCAAACAGGAUUAGAUACCCUGGUAGUCCACACGGUAAACGAUGAAUACUCGCUGUUUGCGAUAUACGGCAAGGGGCCAAGCGAAAGCGUUAAGUAUUCCACCUGGGGAGUACGCCGGCAACGGUGAAACUCAAAGGAAUUGACGGGGGCCCGCACAAGCGGAGGAACAUGUGGUUUAAUUCGAUGAUACGCGAGGAACCUUACCCGGGCUUAAAUUGCAGAUGAAUUACGGUGAAAGCCGUAAGCCGCAAGGCAUCUGUGAAGGUGCUGCAUGGUUGUCGUCAGCUCGUGCCGUGAGGUGUCGGCUUAAGUGCCAUAACGAGCGCAACCCUUGUUGUCAGUUACUAACAGGUUCCGCUGAGGACUCUGACAAGACUGCCAUCGUAAGAUGUGAGGAAGGUGGGGAUGACGUCAAAUCAGCACGGCCCUUACGUCCGGGACUACACACGUGUUACAAUGGGGGGUACAGAGGGCCGCUACCACGCGAGUGGAUGCCAAUCCCCAAAACCUCUCUCAGUUCGGACUGGAGUCUGCAACCCGACUCCACGAAGCUGGAUUCGCUAGUAAUCGCGCAUCAGCCACGGCGCGGUGAAUACGUCCCCGGGCCUUGUACACACCGCCCGUCAAGCCAUGGGAGCCGGGGGUACCUGAAGUGCGUAACCGCGAGGAGCGCCCUAGGGUAAAACUGGUGACUGGGGC